RNAcentral lists this ribosomal RNA (253 nucleotides) under uncultured bacterium. RNAcentral describes it as "partial 16S ribosomal RNA". It matches the Rfam family "Bacterial small subunit ribosomal RNA", at positions 524 to 776 of the family's 1533-position model. The record is from RNAcentral.
UACGUAGGGUGCAAGCGUUGUCCGGAAUUAUUGGGCGUAAAGAGCUCGUAGGCGGUCUGUCGCGUCGGAUGUGAAAACCCAGGGCUCAACCCUGGGCCUGCAUUCGAUACGGGCAGACUAGAGUUCGGUAGGGGAGACUGGAAUUCCUGGUGUAGCGGUGAAAUGCGCAGAUAUCAGGAGGAACACCGGUGGCGAAGGCAGGUCUCUGGGCCACUACUGACGCUGAGAAGCGAAAGCAUGGGGAGCAAACAGG